This is a long non-coding RNA of Microcebus murinus (gray mouse lemur), 3549 nucleotides long. The record is from Ensembl. NCBI's taxonomy places the organism in Eukaryota, Metazoa, Chordata, Mammalia, Primates, Cheirogaleidae.
AAUCAGCACAGAUCCACCGAGUAAAACCACCGGAAAACAAGGUCAAAGUGACAGAGGCCGAGAGAACAAACACAAGGACCUUCUUAUUCCCGCCAUCCCCGCUGCAGAGCAGCCCCAAGCGAACAGCUGUGGGACUCACCGCUGGGCUUCGCUCCCACCCCGCACAGCCUCCGCGAAGCUCACACCAGAGAACAACGGGGCUGUUUCUCUCGAGUCAUUUGUCAAGUUGACAUCCCUGCCCGGAGUUAUUUAGGGCGUUCUAAAGACACUUCUUUCCCUCCCCGCUGCAGGAAGCACCUGCGCGGCUGUUGGGCUGUGGUUUUGCUCAAUAGCACUUUGAUAGCCCUUGAGGCCAUUAAUUACUCUUCUGUCCCCACUGGCUUGGACUUCGGCUGAGGCAAAGGCAGGGAAGGUUAGAGAGGGAGAUGGAGAGGAAGAGGAGGGUGGUUCCUCUGGGAUCUGAGGUCAGACACGGUCUGCAGGUGGGCUCUCGCUGGUUUCUACGGAGCAUCCUCCAGGCAAGGACACCGAGAGGCCUUGGCCAGCUGACUUGGAGCACACCUGUGGGGUCCCCAUAAGGCCAAGUCUCCCUCCUGGAGCAGAGCUGUGCUCUUGCCAACCACUUAGAGGAAAAGCAGACCUGCCAGAGAGUCUGAAAAGUGAACUGAAAGUCAGAAACUAUUAUUCUCUGAGUCCAACCUGUCCCUGCUGGUUUGAGGAAGAACCGUCAGAAAGAAAAGACUGAGCCACCACCCGAGCUUGAAAACACCGCAGGAAACCAUGGCGUCACUGUGAGAGGACUAAUCGCCACACACCACUUGGUUUUCCUUCCUGGACGUCACAGGCCGGAGCCCUGUGGUUCCCACACUGCUUCUGCCAUCGCCCCAAGGAGUGCAACUCUUCUUGAUGCCGAGCCCGGCAGGACAGCCUGUCUCAGCACGUGCUCUUAUAUUCUAAAAUCAGAACAGAGCGAACCAACGUGUUCAAAGCAACUGAAUUAUGGAGAGCCAGGACAUUUCGCUGGGCUCUGCAGCAGCUUUUCCGAAGACUCGUGCAUGCAUCCGUGCUGUGGGUCACCAUUGGGAAAUGACAUGGUCACUUUAGGGCCAGGGAUGCAAGAACCUGAAGAUGAUAAGAGCUCACCUGGCGAUGGAGAAGUGAUUUCAUGGCUCCCUGUGUCAAAGUCAGACUCUCUGUAGGGACAAUGUCAUUCAUACAUCCAAGAGCCAUGUGACUGAGUAUUUAUAGGAUCCAGUUUUCCUUGGGCCUCUGCAUCUUAGAAACUCCAAACAGGAACACUUUAUAAGAGCAGCCUCAACACACUUUGCCCCAAACUCAGAUUACUGAAUUUAGUGCGAAUUCAACCACAGUUCCUCCCACCCAAGCAGACAGUUCCUGUGGGUAUCUAUAGGGACACUCAGACAGGACAGCCUCUUGGUUCACUGGUGGGGAGACUCGUGGGAGCUAACACGCUCUAGCUCCUGUGGCUGUCACCUGGGAGGGCUGCCAGAGUGAUCUUGUGCUGUCUUCCCUGCAAUGGCUGCAGCUCUGGGCUCACUAUGCUGAAAGCCAAGCCGAUUUCUCUGUGCCUCUGGGUAACCCAAACCGUUUCACGAUGAAUCACCCAGUGAGUUUGUUUUGCGGGGGCAUUUCCCCACUUCCAGAGUUUCUUUUAGCUUUUCUUGAGCCUACUUAGGCCCCUGAAAGAGAAUAGUAGCCUAGAAAUGUUGAUACACUUUGCAAGAAGCUGCCACUCUGUUCAUUGGCAAGGCCAGGUCCUUGGCUGUACGAAUCCCACCUCUCUUGUAAUUGUCCCCGUGACAUGGAACUAGGACAGAACCACCCAGAAAGGAAAUAUAGGUGCUGGAGUUCACCCAAGGUCACUUGGAUAGUCCUUCGGUCAGGGGUAGCUAGGAUUGGCUACAUUAUAUGUGGGGCCCAGUGCAAAAUAAAAAUGUGGGGUUUUUGUUGAAAAAUUAUUAAGAAUUUCCAGAAGGCAACAGUUGAGCAUAAAACCAAGUGCAGGCCCCAUGCAGCCGCACUGGUCAUGUGCUCAUGAAGCCACCUGUGUAGCUUUCACGUGAAGUCUCUAGUGUUCAACGAGGAGUGGCUGGAAGAGGUAAACACUCUGGGAGUUGUGCAAGAAAGUCUAGGAGAGAGAGGGCAGCUGGCUGCUCCUAGCAGGGCCUACUUUGUGAGUGGGUGGAACCAGUGGGUUACUAUGAAUAACAGGCACCAUCCUAAGCACUUUAUGUCUGAUAUUAAAUCAUUUUAUUUAAUCCGUGCAUAUAAAUAAUUUACAUGUAUUAAAUUAUUAAUCAUCACAACACCAUACAAAGUCAUCACUAUUAUUUCCCCUCUGCUUUCUAGGUGAGGGAACUGAGGCACAAGAGAGUUUAAGAAAAUGUUGAUUUAAAGUUCAGUUCUCAGGUUUCUGAUAAAAAUUGUUUUUCAAGACUACUUGGAGCUUACUAGACUUGGAGGGAUGGAAUCAUGCUAAACUCACAGAUAGUUUAUUUAUAGGCUAUGAAACAAAUGUAUUCCUAUAAAAUGAUAGGCACUACCAGUCUGGUAACUGAGAUAUUUAUUUCCAUGAUCUAGGGUAGCCCUUUUGGGUAUUAAGAUGCCUGGGGUAAUUGGAAUGAGAAUCCGAAGGUUGCUUAGUGAGCAUAGAAUCAAAACACAGCUAAUUGCAGAAUCCCGGGGGAGAUGUCAACAGACGAAGGUGGAAUCUGGGAAAUCAUCGUCCCAGAUGCUUAACGCACAUCUUCCUGGUGGAGGGUGUGCACCUGUCUGCUAAGCACAGGCUCUCGAUCCGGGCCUAGUGCUUCAGUUCUCCCGUGCGGGAGUCACUCCAGCCACCUCACUCAGGGACAGUUCUGUGACACUUGAAUAGCCCGUCCCUUCCUUUAUGUUGCUGCAUUCUGGUCAGGGUGUGAUCCCAAACAUCAUGAUCCUAGUGUUUACAAAACAACUCUGAGGAUGCCCCAUCCACAGAAGGCCUGUUGAUUUCUUCUGGUUUCUAUGUCCGAGGGUGAGAUGGAACCAGGCCAUUAUGUGCUGCCCAAACUUAGCAUUCAAGUAGCCCGAAAGAGGAGAAGAAUAUUAAUGUGUUCAAAUGAGAUUAUGCUGGUUCCGCCAUGAAUUUAGGACAAAGAUGCUAAGUAAGCGGGCUCCUUGAAGGUAAAUUAACUCCCUAGAAGCUCCUACCUUUGUGGCAUUAAAUAAUUAAACAGUGAAACUGUACUUGGAUCAGUUUCAAGUGGGACUGAGGAAGUAGGCAUAAAGUUAGACGACAUUUGCAUCAUCAGGGAAUUGGUGUUUUGUUUUCUUUUGUUUUGUUUGUAACUCUCCACUUGAAAGUUGCCUUCUUCCUGCCAAGAGUCAGGGUGAUUCAUCAAACUCUCUUGUACGGGUGUAAAGAGAAGCUGCCGAGGUGGUUUUGAAGGGCAUCUUUUGGGAACCACCCUUUCUUAGCAUAAGAAAGAGGAGGAGGAGGAUGACAGCUCACAUUUAAAACUGCUUACGAUACAGGUGUCAGAUGCGGUG